RNAcentral lists this non-coding RNA (28 nucleotides) under Rattus norvegicus (Norway rat). The record is from RNAcentral. Lineage: Eukaryota; Metazoa; Chordata; Mammalia; Rodentia; Muridae.
UACAGAUGUAUUCACGGAGGAUGACUGU